Bubalus bubalis (water buffalo) is the source of this 1625-nucleotide long non-coding RNA. RefSeq lists it as uncharacterized. The record is from RefSeq and is a predicted model, not a curated record. NCBI's taxonomy places the organism in Eukaryota, Metazoa, Chordata, Mammalia, Artiodactyla, Bovidae. The transcript has 2 exons.
UCAAACUGGUGUCCCUUGCAUUGCAAGGCAAGGCAAUUCUUAACCUCUGGAGCACCAGGGAAGCCCUAUGUCACUUCUUUAAACUUUAUUUUUUAUUGGGGUUACAUUGCUUUAUAACAUUAUGCUUCAUGUGUUCAAUUUAUAUCACUUUGUUGUUCCUUAUUCUUUCAGACAUCUUCAAUGUCAGAUUUAAACCCGGUGAAUGUAAUUGUGAUUGGCAUCUGAAGGGUGGUGGGAGUCUUGUAAGACUGAGCGGUUAACCUUUCCAAUUGUGAAUCAAGUUAAAUUUAGGAUACCCAGCUGGUGGCCAAGAGUUUUUUGUUGGUGUGGGAACAUCACCCCCGACCACGUUCAAAUGGGUUCCAGAAUUGUUGUAACAUCAUUUUCUCCCAGUCUGUAAACACCCCUAUCUUAUUUCCUUUUCUUUUCAGCUGCAGCUCAUGGUUGUUUCAUGUGAACAACAUACUUUUUCACCAAAACUCUGUACUUCCUCGAAGCCUUAGCCCUCUCUGACCCUGCACAGAAAUCCCUAAACCUACUUCAGUGUGCAAUUUACCCUUCAUGGUAGUAUUUGCCCCGGUUUUUUCAGUCCUGCCUAUAUCUAUGACCAUGCGUUGUCCCCUCUCACACUCACUCUGGGCUUGAGAGUGUGACUUGCUUUCAUCAAGGGACAUUAGCAAGUUGGGCAGUGACUUAAAAGAUGCUGGCACACCUGGGCUCACUCUCUGCUCUUCAGAACAGAGCUCACUUCCUGAAGAAGCCUGAUCUAGCCUGCUGGAGAGGAGCCGUGAUUUGAAGGGGAAAUAACAAGGCCCAGCUGAGGUCUCUCCAGAACAACCUGGCUACCAACCAUUAGGUAGUUUUUAAAAAGGCCAUCCUAGACCAUGUAGUCCAAGUGAGCUCGCCCAGAACAGAAGACCCACCCAGCUGACGCGUAGAAUCCUCAGCCUGUCCCCGGUCAUACUGAGAAAACGACCUCGUUGCCUGCUUCAGAUAAGGUGGGGCUUGCAGGCCCAGUAAGGACCUGCUGUUUUCCUGUGUUUUGGGUGAGAAACCAUCGGAGGCCUGUGAGUAGCAGAGUGACCCAGGCUGCUGUGUGGAGAGCGCCGUGUGGUGAGCAGGAGUAGAAACAAGGAGCCGUUCGAGGAGACGACAGGAGCUCUGCGCAGGGAGACAGAGGAGGCAGUGCGCGGGGUGGAGAGCUGUGGUGGCAGGACUCCGUUCAAGGAGACUAAAACGCAGACGGCAUCCUCUGGACUUCAAGUGAGUGCAGUUGUCCUGGGUAGAAGGAUGAAGUGAAAAUUCUGGUUAUGUUUUGAAGAUGAGAGCCUAAAGAAUAUGGUGAUUAAUUGAUGUGGGAAGAAAAAGAGGAAAUCGGCGAUAAUCACAUUUCACUGUAAUGAUUUUUUUUUUUUAAAUUGGCACUUUCUAACCACUCCAGAAUUCUUGCCUGGAGAAUUCCAUGAAGUGAGAAGCCUGGCAAGCCAUGUUGUGCAAAGAGUCGGACGUGGCUGAGCAACGAACACUUUCACUACCUCAUUCCCUCCUGGGAAGAAGGCAGAGACCGUCCUAAAUAUCUCUCUUUGUAUAUUAGUCUUGAAUGAAUGGAUGAAUGACUCAAUCAA